This 484-nucleotide ribosomal RNA is filed under the name uncultured bacterium. RNAcentral's name for it is "partial 16S ribosomal RNA". It matches the Rfam family "Bacterial small subunit ribosomal RNA", at positions 30 to 507 of the family's 1533-position model. The record is from RNAcentral.
AUUGAACCCGGGCGGCAGGCCUAACACAUGCAAGUCGAGCGGAGGAAGGGAGCUUGCUCCUGGAUUCAGCGUCGGACGGGUGAGUAAAGCCUAGGAAUCUGCCGGGGAGUGGGGUAUAACGUCCGGAAACAGGCGCUAAUAGCGCAUACGUCGAGAGGGAGGAAGUGGGGGAUCUUCGGACCUCACGCUAACAGAUGAGCCUAGGUCGGAUUAGCUAGUUUGUGGGGUAAAGGCCUACCAAGGCGACUAUUCGUAACUGGUCUGAGAGGAUGAUCAGUCACACUGGAACUGUGACACGGUCCAGACUCCUAUGAGACGACGCAGUGGGGAAUAUUGGACAUUGGGCGAAAGAAUGAUCCAGCCAUGCCGCGUGUGUGAAGAAGGUCUUCGGAUUGUAAAGCACUUUAAGUUGGGAGGAAGCGCAGUCAGUUACUACCUUGCUGUUUUGACGUUACCAACAGAAUAAGCACCGGCUAACUUCGUG